Molecule: ribosomal RNA, 218 nt
Filed under: uncultured prokaryote
Description: partial 16S ribosomal RNA
Rfam family: Bacterial small subunit ribosomal RNA
Source: RNAcentral
GACAGAGGGUGCAAACGUUGUUCGGAAUUACUGGGCGUAAAGCGCGUGUAGGCGGCAACGCAAGUCGGAUGUGAAAGCCCAUGACUCAACCAUGGAAGUGCACCCGAAACUGCAUGGCUCGAGUCCCGGAGAGGAAGGUGGAAUGCUUGGUGUAGAGGUGAAAUUCGUAGAUAUCAAGCAGAACACCUGCGGCGAAGGCGGCCUUCUGGACGGUGACU